This 3356-nucleotide long non-coding RNA is filed under the name Homo sapiens (human). RNAcentral describes it as "HSALNT0310046". Lineage: Eukaryota; Metazoa; Chordata; Mammalia; Primates; Hominidae. The record is from RNAcentral.
GGGCGUCCUGCGAGGCUUUCAGGCUGCUGAGCCUGUUCCUUGGCUGGGGUCGGUAGGGCUUGGAGCCAGCCGUUCAAAGUCACCCCUGGGAAGCGCCCGCAACCCUUGGGGACGCCUCUCCUCCGGCUGCCCCCCUUCCCUGGAAUCCAGGUGUCACUGGGGCCGGGGAGGGGCUAGGAGCUCGGAUUUCUGCUUUGGGAAGUUUUUACAAGCCCACCCUCCCCCUGCCUUGGUUCCCCGAGCCAAGAAUUUCAGAAAUCCGGGGCACAAAAACGCCAGUGUUUGCGGUCAAGGAUUAAAGGCGCGAGGUGUCUUUAUUUAAUCUGCUCCGCCCUGCUCGGGUUUGCACGAGAAACCAAGCCUGGGAGCGACGGUCCACGCAAGCGGAGACACAGGCAAGUCGCGUGAGAGCACUUUUCUGAGCCCGAGUUGCUUGUCUUUUAUCGCCCGUGAGGAGGUAAAGAAAGGCAGACCUCUCCGGUGCACAAAUAAAGGAGCCGUGUUGUGACUUGCCGGCUCUGAGAUUGGGAGGCAGAAAAUAAAUACAAACCGCGACCUCAGUCCUGACCGUACCUCUAGCAGCCCCUCUGCUCCUGGGAGCUGUAAAUGCUUAAGUAAAUAAACCGCAAACCAGAAAAAUAAGGGCUUAGGAAAGAGCCGCUCACACAGAGAUGCGCAUCCAGGCGGGGCGCUCUCCAAGAGCUCCGAAUGGGGCAAGGUGGGUUUCACCCGCUGCCAAGUAAUGCCUGGGCUCCCGGGCUACACGCUGCUUAGGGCUCCGGCUUUUGCAAGGAGGGGAAGAGCUAAGCCCGGAGGCAGUCAGCCGACUGCCCUGUCUUGCCUCAAAUGACGUAUAUUCAUUCCUCAAACGUUUCCUGAGUGUUUACUAGGUGCCAGGCGCUGGGGCAUAGUGGUGAGCCAAACGCAUUAUAGCAUCCCAGACAGGCACUUCCUGACGCCGCCUAAAGAUCUGUUAUAACAAUAGUAAUAAUAAUGAUAAUAAUCAAUGGGGAGGCUGAUUUUAUUGAGCCCAGACCACAUGCAGUUUUCAUGCGUCAUGCUAUUGAGUUUUACCAACUGUAGGUAUAUUUAUUAUAUCUAUUUGGCAGGUGCACAAUCCAGGGCUCAGAGAAAUCAGGUAACUUCCCAAAUGACCCCUCGAGUUAAGUGGUACAGCCUGGACUCCCGUUCCAGACUCUACGUGUAUGAAACCCUUGUCUUUGGGGAAAUCCACCGCCAUUGCCUUAAAUAGCCUCUCUCCCCAUUUAGGAGCAGCCUCUGAGCCCUUGGGCAAGUCAUUUUCAUCUCUUUGCCCCAGUUUUGCCAUCUGAAGGAAAUUCUUAUUAGAAUAUGUCUACUUUUUAGCAGGAUUCCUUAAUAUAAAAUCGAGUCUCAUGAAACUUUAGGAACAAAUUAGAGGAGAAUCAUAGCUAAUAGUUAUUACUGACAUAAUAAUGCCAAAACGAAUCAUAAUUAUUGACACUUAUUGGGUGAAUGCCAUGUGUCAGGCAUUGGUCUAAACUCUUUCUGUAUAGCACCUAAUUAAAUCCUAUUAAGCCAUUUUUUACUUAUGAGAAAACUGAGGGGGGGCACAAAGCGAUUAAAUUACUUCCUCCAAAGUCACACAAAUAGCUGAGUCUUGAACCCUGGUCCUAAACUACUAGUCUCCGCUACCUCCCCAAUGUAAACAUGUGCACUGUAUUUGCCUGCUCAGAUAAGCAUUUAAUGUCAGUCCAGGAAGGGGCAAAGCUCUUGAAAUAGACAAAGUUUGUGUUCACGAUAUUCACUCCUGCCCUCCGUUCCCUGUCAGCAUUAUCCCCUGGUCACUGGACGCUGGGGUCUAGUGCCUAAUACGUUAAGCUGCUUCUCCCCAUCAUCAAGAAACUGCCGCAUCUGCCAUAUAAAGGAGAUGUUUCUCAUUCGCCCCCACUCAUCUCUUCCCCCAUGAAAACCUCUUCCAUUUUCAAAGGAUCUUCGGCUCUACUUUUCAAGCAAAUUCAACAAAUCAGUGUAUGCCUGUGUAACUGGUAAAUAGUGAAGGGUAAUUAUUUCAUGUGCUUCUAACUCAGAAACAAUGGAAUAUUAACAGCGGUUUUCUGAAGAUCCAGUUGGACAAUUUUCAUUUUCAUCAUAUAAUGGACAUUUAUCUCCUACCUGCAUUAUCCACUGUCUUCCCUCGGAGACCACAAAUUUCACUGAAGGCAGCAUCUAUGUCUUAUUCAUGCUUGUGCUCUCUACCUCCCCUGACCCAGAAGGACUUAUUCUUCUUUCUGCACAUUUUAGUAGAUGUGUUAAAAAAAAAAAAAAAAAGUUUGUUAAGAAGAUGUUUUAAUGGAAGGUGUGUCAGGCAUAUGGCAGGAUACAUGACCAUAUUUUUGGAGCAUGCAACACCUCGUAGCCCAUCUCUAUCAUAGCCUAUUUUCUCCGCCUGUAUGUAUGGAUAAUCCUAUUCAACAUUUUUAAGGUCUAGAAGCUGCUAGGUCACUAGAAAGUAAUUUUGCUAUGAUGUGAAGAGGUUCUCUAUGAUGAUGUAUGACUGAUAAAUUAUGAUGAUUAAUGUCAGAAUAUAAGGGUCACUGCCUAACUCAUUCUCUGUUAUCAGUAGAGGGAAAGGAGCUGCUUUCUCUUCACUAUUUUUUUCUAGAAGAAUUUUCUAUCCCUGUGUUUUCCAGUAUAGUGACUACUAGCCAUUUAGGCACGUAAGAUGUGGCUAGUUCUGAGAUGUGAAAUAGAUGUUAACACAUUGAAUUUCAAAGACUUAGUACAAAAAAAAGCAAAAUAUCUUAAUUUGUAUAGUGAUUACAUGUUGAAGUGGUAAUAUUUUGGAUAUUUGUGUUAAAUAAAAUAGAUUAUUAGAAUUUAUUUUACCUGCUUUUUCCUUUUUUAAUAUAGCUACUAGGAAAUUAAAAAUUACAUGUAUAGCUCAUAUCAUAUAUUAUGCAGCACUGAUCUAGAAAACCAAGAAUCUGAUUCCCAGGAUCACAAUUCGAGAUGAUGACCAGCCCAUUAAAAUGGCCAUUUAUGACUUUGCCCUUGAAAUGUUCAUGCAGGGAACUACGAGGGCUUUGCAAGGUCAGUACAGUAUCAUAGACUGAGCAGAAGUCUGAAGAAAGUCCAAAACUAGCACUUGAGCCUACCCCCAGGGAAGACCUACAAAUAGAAGCAGGUUUCAUCAGCAGUACACAGCUGAAAACUCUAACUGAAUUCAUCUGCCUAGAAGCCCACCUCAAAUGCUGCCCUGGUUAAGAGAGCAAGAUAAGCUGGAGAAAGGAGGGAUCGGAGAAAAUGGUUUUGACACCCAGCUGUACCAUUUAUAUCCUGUUUUGUUUUGUUUGAUAAAGUGAUACUAACAAUCC